AUUUCAGGGUUUAUCCAUUUGUAUUCACAUUGAUUCAUGUCUGAUUGACACUAUGGAAUGAUUAUUUUUCUUGAAUUUUUGUUGUCUCUUGGCAGAACUCUCUUUUUCUACCAAAACUCAAAAGAAGAAAACUUGUUAUACAAAAAAGUGUAGCAGUUCAUCCCUGUGGGUUGUGAAACAGGGUGAUUGGGAUUCAUGUGAGCUGUAACUCCCAAGAUAAUUAAUGUUCCCGCCACAAGCCCGCCUCUAGAGCACUAUUUACAAUAGCCAGGACAUGGAAGCAACCUAAAUGUCCAUCAACAGAUGAAUGGAUAAAGAAAAUGGGGUUCCCAUACACGACGGAAUAUUACUCAGCCAUAAAAAUGAAUGAAAUUGUGCAAUUUGCAGAGACGUGGAUGGACCUAGAGACUGUCACACAGAGUGAAAAACCACAAUAAAGGCUCUUGCCCAUGUUCCCUCUCUCUCCUGCCUCCUGACUGACUGACCCCGGUGCUUCCUGGAGUGACCCUGCAUGGUGUGCCCCCUCCUCUUGGGACUUAAUCUAGAUGUAAUGGCUGGAACUCAAGCAGCUGUCUGGGAGUUUAAGCAGCUCAAGCCCUGUGCAGAGGAGAGUGAAAGACAAUGGAAGGAACCUACACCGUGGAGCACUACACCAGCCUGGAUAGCUGACUAGGGGUCUUCAUUUAUGUGAGAGAGGAAUGUACUUCUAUCCUGUUUAACCCACUGUUAUUUUGGGGUCUCUGUCAUUCAUAGCAAAGCAUAAUCGUAAGUGUCAUAGUAGCCAAUAAACCUUGGGUUUAUUCCCUUCAGUGGCCUCUAAACCAUUUUUUGCCUUCAGCUUCCCCCAAACUCUCAGCCUGAUGAAACCAGGGAAGUUCAAUUGGUGUUACAGAUCUGUUUUAAAGAGACUUCCCUGGCCCACUGAAUGGAAUGAGCUCCAGAUGGGAAUGCCUAGGCUUAGGUGCAACCAUUUCAGAAAACAGGCAUCACCUGGUAACGU
Molecule: non-coding RNA, 1000 nt
Organism: Kogia breviceps (pygmy sperm whale)
Lineage: Eukaryota; Metazoa; Chordata; Mammalia; Artiodactyla; Physeteridae
Source: RefSeq, a predicted model, not a curated record